Molecule: long non-coding RNA, 651 nt
Organism: Poecilia reticulata (guppy)
Lineage: Eukaryota; Metazoa; Chordata; Actinopteri; Cyprinodontiformes; Poeciliidae
Source: RefSeq, a predicted model, not a curated record
UCAGGGUUUUUCCCCGACUGGGAGCUUAACGCUAAAUGUGACAGAUAGCCAAUCAGAAAGCGCGGAUUCUUCUUCGUUUAUCGCGACUGGCCUACAUAUGGCGCUUAAAUCAGUAUUUAAAAUGCUUCUCUAAACAACAGUGUUGGAAGAUAUGAAGUGUCCCAGAGAGCACAUCAAAGCAUUGCCUUAUAAUUUCAGACAGACAGUUAAGAGAUAAAUGAUUCACCAUGUUGCCCUGACUGACGUGGAUCUUCAUGGAGACAGACAACUUGCUCUCCAGAUGUUUGGCAGCGGAGAGAUAAAAAUGUGACAGAACCUUCCAUGAUUGCUCACUGUGUCAGAGGUUAUUUUCCGGGGACCUGCGAGCUGAAAUAACCCUUCAGUUUUGUCAGGUGAUCUGAUGAUAAAUGCUUCCAAAUCACCAUUCAGAGGAAAAACUGAAGACACUUCUCCUGACCAAUCAAAACAGUCACAGAGGAAGUUUACCUGUUUUUCAUUCAGGUUGUGCUACUGGCUGUCCUCAUGAAGUGUGUCGAAGAGCGGUGGUAAUAACAAAAAGAUGAAGCUUAAAAUCACUAUGCUGGAGGCAUAAAAGUAAUGAGUACAUUUCAAUGUGGAACAACUCAACAAUAAACAUUUAAAUAUCACUCA